This 348-nucleotide ribosomal RNA is filed under the name Triticum aestivum (bread wheat). Its description in RNAcentral is "partial small subunit ribosomal RNA". The record is from RNAcentral. Lineage: Eukaryota; Viridiplantae; Streptophyta; Magnoliopsida; Poales; Poaceae.
AUGGACUACCCAUCCCGGUACAGCGGCUGCCCGUCGCUCCCCCUCCCAAAGAUCCACGCGUUCCUAAGUUCGUUCGUGCGUGAACUGGCUGGUGACCGGCCACCAGCGCAACAUCCUGCUCAUGCACUGCAACGGCACGGUGUAUGGGAGAGCGCUGGUGGAGCUGCUCAGUACUUGCUCGGCGCUCGAUCAGCGGUCGUCUCAUCUGAGGUAACUGCAGAAUGUGAUGAGUGCAUCCAUGUUGGUGAUGAAGUACAAGAGGAGAUCAUGUUCCGCGUCAUGUCCAGCACUUGCUUUCUGCUGUCUAACAUGACUGUUUUCUCUCUGACGGACAUUAAUCUGCCAUGA